CAGCAGCCGCGGGAACACGUAGGUGGCGAGCGUUGUCCGGAUUUAUUGGGCGUAAAGGGAGUGUAGGCGGUCUUUCAAGUCUGAUGUGAAAGCCCACGGCUCAACCGUGGAGGGUCAUUGGAAACUGGGAGACUUGAGUGCAGAAGAGGAGAGCGGAAUUCCAUGUGUAGCGGUGAAAUGCGUAGAUAUAUGGAGGAACACCGGUGGCGAAAGCGGCUCUCUGGUCUGUAACUGACGCUGAGGCUCGAAAGCGUGGGGAGCGAACAGGAUUAGAUACCCGAGUAGUCCCUGUCUCUUAUAU
RNAcentral lists this ribosomal RNA (301 nucleotides) under uncultured bacterium. RNAcentral's name for it is "partial 16S ribosomal RNA". It matches the Rfam family "Bacterial small subunit ribosomal RNA", at positions 509 to 809 of the family's 1533-position model. The record is from RNAcentral.